AUGGCUGCAAAUAACCUGGGCUCAGCAUGGUCAAGUAUGAAACCCAUUGCAGGCACUAGUAACUCAAAGAAUAUAAGCACUGUCACUUUAGAGGGUUUUGACACAGACUCUGACCUUGCAAAUGAUCUUAAUAAUUUCUUUUCCCGUUUUGACACCUAUGAUUUCAGUAAAGAAAAACAGGAGCUCAGUCAUAAAUUAGCUGACCAGAACCACUUCACAAUUGAAGAGGAAAAUAUUGAAAAGGUAUUCUCUUCCAUAAAUCCAAAUAAAAGCCAUGGACCUGACAAUAUAUGUGGUAGACUGGUUAAGUUGUGUUCUAGAGAACUUAGUCGAAUAUUUCAUUACAUCUUCAAUAAAUCCCUUCAAAAUCAGCAUGUCCCAAAAUGUUGGAAAGAUGCGGUAGCCGUUCCAGUUCCCAAGACAAGCUGCCCAAAAAUUCUGAAUGAUUUUAGGCCUAUUGCUCUGACAUCUAUUGUCAUGAAAGCUUUUGAAAAAUUAGUGAGAAAUGAAAUUUUAAAGAAAACAGAGUCUGAUAUUGACCCAUUGCCUUUUGCCUAUAAGCCUCAUAGAGGUGUCAAGGAUGCCACAGUCACUUUGAUGAACAUGCUUUUUAAACAUCUGGAAGGAAAAGGAACACAUGCUCAGCUUUUAUUUAUAGAUUUCUCUUCUGCUUUUAAUACAAUUCAACCCCACAUUUUAACAGAAAGACUUUUAGAGCAAUUUGAUUUGAGUAAAAAUCUUGUUGGAUGGGUUUUAGACUUUUUAACCAAUAGGACGCAAAGAGUGCGAGUCAAUGGAGUACUGUCUGACCAGAUCUGCUCCUCCACUGGCUCCCCUCAUGGCUGUGUUUUGUACCCUCUCCUGUUCAUCCUUUACACAAACAUGUGCCGCAGCAAAAGAGUAGACAGAUUUAUUUUAAAGUAUGCAGAUGAUUCUGUCAUUGUAAGCCUGCUACAAGGGAAUGAAGUCGCUCAGGAUUUUGUAGACUGGUGCGAUAGGUCCUUUUUACACAUGAACAUUUCAAAAACUAAAGACAUGUACAUAGAUUUCCGGAAACUCCCCAGUGCUAAGGAACUCACCAGCAUAAAGGGUCAGACUGUUGAGUGUGUGGAUAACUAUAAAUAUCUUGGGACCAUCAUCGACAAUAAACUAAACUUUGAGACAAACUGUGAAGCUGUGUACAAAAAGGGGAAUCAGCAUUUAUAUUGUCUGAGGAAACUCUCAUCGUUUCACAUUGACAGUAAAAUGCUAACCAUGUUCUACCGCUGCUUCAUUGAAUCUGUCUUAUCCUUUAGCCUGGUGUCUUGGUUUAGUAACCUAUCCCUAAAAAAUAAGAAUUCCCUGAGCCAAAUCGUGAGGUGGGCUAGUAGGCUGAUUGGAGAGCCACAGCUGAACCCAGAAUCCCUGCAUACAAGGCAGCUACAGAGACUAGCUGGGUCUAUCUUAGAAGAUGGAUCCCACCCACUAUAUGGUGAAUUUCAACUUCUCCCAUCAGGUCGUAGGUACAAAAUGCCUGCCUGCAAAACAAAGAGAUACAGAGGCAGUUUUGUUCCAUCAGCCGUCAAAACGUUAAAUAGUAAGUAA
Molecule: long non-coding RNA, 1584 nt
Filed under: Gadus morhua (Atlantic cod)
Lineage: Eukaryota; Metazoa; Chordata; Actinopteri; Gadiformes; Gadidae
Description: lncRNA (ENSGMOG00000036326.1)
Source: RNAcentral